UACGUAGGUGACCAGCGUUGUCCGGAUUUACUGGGCGUAAAGAGCUCGUAGGCGGUGUGUCGCGUCGGCCGUGAAAACCUGCAGCUUAACUGUGGGCUUGCGGUCGAUACGGGCAUCACUGGAGUUCGGCAGGGGAGACUGGAAUUCCUGGUGUAGCGGUGAAAUGCGCAGAUAUCAGGAGGAACACCGGUGGCGAAGGCGGGUCUCUGGGCCGAAAUUGACGCUGAGGAGCGAAAGCGUGGGGAGCAAACAGG
RNAcentral lists this ribosomal RNA (254 nucleotides) under uncultured bacterium. RNAcentral describes it as "partial 16S ribosomal RNA". It matches the Rfam family "Bacterial small subunit ribosomal RNA", at positions 524 to 776 of the family's 1533-position model. The record is from RNAcentral.